GAUGAACGCUGGCGGCGUGCUUAACACAUGCAAGUCGAGCGAGUGAGUUCUUCGGAACGAUCUAGCGGCGGACGGGUGAGUAACACGUGGGCAACCUGCCUCAUAGAGGGGAAUAGCCUCCCGAAAGGGAGAUUAAUACCGCAUAAAAUUAUCGAGUGGCAUCACAUGAUAAUCAAAGGAGUAAUCCGCUAUGAGAUGGGCCCGCGGCGCAUUAGCUAGUUGGUGAGGUAACGGCUCACCAAGGCGACGACGCGUAGCCGACCUGAGAGGGUGAUCGGCCACAUUGGGACUGAGACACGGCCCAGACUCCUACGGGAGGCAGCAGUGGGGAAUAUUGCACAAUGGGGGAAACCCUGAUGCAGCAACGCCGCGUGAGUGAUGAAGGUCUUCGGAUUGUAAAGCUCUGUCUUUGGGGACGAUAAUGACGGUACCCAAGGAGGAAGCCACGGCUAACUACGUGCCAGCAGCCGCUGUAA
Molecule: ribosomal RNA, 476 nt
Filed under: uncultured bacterium
Lineage: Bacteria
Description: partial 16S ribosomal RNA
Rfam family: Bacterial small subunit ribosomal RNA
Source: RNAcentral